AGAGUUUGAUCAUGGCUCAGGACGAACGCUGGCUGCGUGCUUAACACAUGCAAGUCGAACGCUGAAGCCUGGUGCUUGCACCGGGUGGAUGAGUGGCGAACGGGUGAGUAACACGUGAGUAACCUGCCCCUGACUUCGGGAUAAGCCCGGGAAACUGGGUCUAAUACCGGAUACGACUGCCGGACGCAUGUCUGGUGGUGGAAAGUUUUUUCGGUUGGGGAUGGGCUCGCGGCCUAUCAGUUUGUUGGUGAGGUAAUGGCUCACCAAGACGACGACGGGUAGCCGGCCUGAGAGGGCGACCGGCCACACUGGGACUGAGACACGGCCCAGACUCCUACGGGAGGCAGCAGUGGGGAAUAUUGCACAAUGGGGGAAACCCUGAUGCAGCGACGCAGCGUGCGGGAUGACGGCCUUCGGGUUGUAAACCGCUUUCAGCAGGGAAGAAGCGAAAGUGACGGUACCUGCAGAAGAAGUACCGGCUAACUACGUGCCAGCAGCCGCGGUAAUACGUAGGGUACGAGCGUUGUCCGGAAUUAUUGGGCGUAAAGAGCUCGUAGGUGGUUGGUCACGUCUGCUGUGGAAACGCAACGCUUAACGUUGCGCGUGCAGUGGGUACGGGCUGACUAGAGUGCAGUAGGGGAGUCUGGAAUUCCUGGUGUAGCGGUGAAAUGCGCAGAUAUCAGGAGGAACACCGGUGGCGAAGGCGGGACUCUGGGCUGUAACUGACACUGAGGAGCGAAAGCAUGGGGAGCGAACAGGAUUAGAUACCCUGGUAGUCCAUGCCGUAAACGUUGGGCACUAGGUGUGGGGGGCAUUCCACGUUCUCCGCGCCGUAGCUAACGCAUUAAGUGCCCCGCCUGGGGAGUAUGGUCGCAAGGCUAAAACUCAAAGGAAUUGACGGGGGCCCGCACAAGCGGCGGAGCAUGCGGAUUAAUUCGAUGCAACGCGAAGAACCUUACCAAGGCUUGACAUACACCGGACCGUCCUGGAAACAGAUCCUCUUCUUUGAAGCUGGUGUACAGGUGGUGCAUGGUUGUCGUCAGCUCGUGUCGUGAGAUGUUGGGUUAAGUCCCGCAACGAGCGCAACCCUCGUUCUAUGUUGCCAGCACGUGAUGGCGGGAACUCAUAGGAGACUGCCGGGGUCAACUCGGAGGAAGGUGGGGAUGACGUCAAAUCAUCAUGCCCUUUAUGUCUUGGGCUUCACGCAUGCUACAAUGGCUGGUACAGAGAGAGGCGAACCCGUGAGGGCAAGCGAAUCCCUUAAAGCCAGUCUCAGUUCGGAUCGUAGUCUGCAAUUCGACUACGUGAAGUCGGAGUCGCUAGUAAUCGCAGAUCAGCAACGCUGCGGUGAAUACGUUCCCGGGCCUUGUACACACCGCCCGUCAAGUCACGAAAGUCGGUAACACCCGAAGCCGGUGGCCUAACCGUAAGGAGGGGGCCGUCUAAGGUGGGACUGGUGAUUGGGACUAAGUCGUAACAAGGUAACCGUA
RNAcentral lists this ribosomal RNA (1490 nucleotides) under Brevibacterium casei. RNAcentral describes it as "bacterial SSU rRNA". It matches the Rfam family "Bacterial small subunit ribosomal RNA". The record is from RNAcentral. Lineage: Bacteria; Bacillati; Actinomycetota; Actinomycetes; Micrococcales; Brevibacteriaceae.